This 391-nucleotide ribosomal RNA is filed under the name Methylobacterium radiotolerans. Its description in RNAcentral is "bacterial SSU rRNA". It matches the Rfam family "Bacterial small subunit ribosomal RNA", at positions 56 to 494 of the family's 1533-position model. The record is from RNAcentral. Lineage: Bacteria; Pseudomonadati; Pseudomonadota; Alphaproteobacteria; Hyphomicrobiales; Methylobacteriaceae.
UGCAGUCGAGCGGGCCCUUCGGGGUCAGCGGCGGACGGGUGAGUAACGCGUGGGAACGUGCCUUCUGGUUCGGAAUAACCCUGGGAAACUAGGGCUAAUACCGGAUACGCCCUUUUGGGGAAAGGUUUACUGCCGGAAGAUCGGCCCGCGUCUGAUUAGCUAGUUGGUGGGGUAACGGCCUACCAAGGCGACGAUCAGUAGCUGGUCUGAGAGGAUGAUCAGCCACACUGGGACUGAGACACGGCCCAGACUCCUACGGGAGGCAGCAGUGGGGAAUAUUGGACAAUGGGCGCAAGCCUGAUCCAGCCAUGCCGCGUGAGUGAUGAAGGCCUUAGGGUUGUAAAGCUCUUUUAUCCGGGACGAUAAUGACGGUACCGGAGGAAUAAGCCCC